GAGCAUAUGAACAAGCUUUACGUGAAGAGCAAACACUCGAGAGAGUAAACUGCAAGGCGACCGAAACAGGCGCUCUGCGUGAUCAGCAACAGCAUCCCCUAACUCAGAAAAUUCCGGACUGCGUGCUGCUUCAAUACUCUGAGGGCUCCAACGUUGUCCCCCAAGAAGAAUUUUCAACUGACCAAGAUCAUGCAGCCGCAUACAAUUCGCUAGACAGCGGGGAACAACAGAACCAGGACACGGCUGAGCCUCAACGAGCCCUGGAACAGCAGCAGCGCCAGCAACAGGGGGCAACACCUCCCCA
Long non-coding RNA from Monopterus albus (swamp eel), 304 nucleotides. RefSeq lists it as uncharacterized. The record is from RefSeq and is a predicted model, not a curated record. NCBI's taxonomy places the organism in Eukaryota, Metazoa, Chordata, Actinopteri, Synbranchiformes, Synbranchidae. The transcript has 3 exons.